CAUUGACACUCAACGAGUUUCUUACUCUUCUUAAUUGUGAUUUUUUUGUUUUCAGGAAAACACCGAUGCUAUUGGAACAGAUUAUCCAUCGACAAGUCGAGGUGGAAUUUAAAUAAAUCCCAAAUAUAUAUAUCCAUUUUAU
Long non-coding RNA from Papilio xuthus (Asian swallowtail), 142 nucleotides. RefSeq lists it as uncharacterized. The transcript has 2 exons. The record is from RefSeq and is a predicted model, not a curated record. Lineage: Eukaryota; Metazoa; Arthropoda; Insecta; Lepidoptera; Papilionidae.